UACGUAGGGUGCGAGCGUUGUCCGGAAUUAUUGGGCGUAAAGAGCUCGUAGGCGGUCUGUCGCGUCUGCUGUGAAAACUCAGGGCUCAACCCUGAGCUUGCAGUGGGUACGGGCAGACUAGAGUGCGGUAGGGGAGACUGGAAUUCCUGGUGUAGCGGUGAAAUGCGCAGAUAUCAGGAGGAACACCGGUGGCGAAGGCGGGUCUCUGGGCCGUAACUGACGCUGAGGAGCGAAAGCAUGGGGAGCGAACAGG
This 253-nucleotide ribosomal RNA is filed under the name uncultured bacterium. Its description in RNAcentral is "partial 16S ribosomal RNA". It matches the Rfam family "Bacterial small subunit ribosomal RNA", at positions 524 to 776 of the family's 1533-position model. The record is from RNAcentral.